RNAcentral lists this ribosomal RNA (2247 nucleotides) under Triticum aestivum (bread wheat). Its description in RNAcentral is "partial small subunit ribosomal RNA". Lineage: Eukaryota; Viridiplantae; Streptophyta; Magnoliopsida; Poales; Poaceae. The record is from RNAcentral.
AUGGAUCGUCGUUCUAGUGGUAUUACACCAAGGGACCUGGAGUGCAUGCUAUGUGAUGAAACGGCAGAGCCCAAGGCUCUGCCACUGUCGCUCCUGGAAGAAAUCACAGGUGAUUUCUCUGAUGAGCAGGAAAUUGGUAGAGGUGGAUUUGCGGUGGUUUAUAAGGGAAAGCUUGAGAACAGGACUGUGGCCGUGAAGAGGAUGUCCAAUACGUAUAUGUACGAGAAGGAGUUCCAGCGAGAAGUUGAAUGUCUCAUGAUGGUCAAGCACAAAAAUGUAGUACGGUUUCUGGGAUAUUGUGCUGACACACAAGGGAGUAUGGAGAAGUACGAUGGAAAAUUCGUCAUGGCAGAUGUACAACAAAGGUUGCUCUGCUUCGAGUAUCUUCCUAAAGGGAGUCUGCAUGAGUAUAUCACUGAUACAUCUAGCGGACUUCCGUGGAGAGACAGAUAUCGUAUUAUUGAAGGAGUUUGUCAGGGAUUACACUAUCUUCAUCAGAAAAAUAUUGUCCACUUAGAUCUAAAGCCGGCAAAUUUAUUGUUGGAUGAUAAUUUGGUGGCAAAAAUUGCUGAUUUCGGUCUAUCGAGGUGCUUUGGUGAAAUGCAAAGCCGGGUUAUUACCGAGAACAUAGCCGGAACAUUGGGAUAUUUGGCACCAGAAUUUGGUAACGGUGUAAUCACGUACCAGUUUGAUAUCUACAGUCUCGGUGUAAUAAUCAUAGAGAUACUGACUGGAAAGAAGGGGUACCACGCUGUUGACAAUGUUGUUGGAAGUUGGAGUAACGUGAUGGGGAAAUCACAGAGCAAUGUACAGCUGGAACAGGUUCGAGUAUGUGCUGAGAUAGGAAUAGAGUGCACCAACUUCAACCCGGCGAAGAGACCAGAUACGCAAUAUGUAAUCAAUAGACUUGCUGAAACAGAAACCAUUGACGGAUAUAUCGAAACUGGUGUGAUUACUUCACAUCAGGUACGAUCACUCUCACACCAGGCCGAACAUGCUCCAAAUGGACUUCGUCAAGAUACGCCUAACACGCCAGGAGCGGCAAGCUCGGAGGAGAAUGUCACUGCAGUUACAGUGGCAGAGACAACCCCAUAUAACAGUUUUUGGAAAAAUACUGCAAAGCUUGACAUGUUGAAUGCAAAGGUUCACAAAUUGAAUGAGACGAUGCGUUCUAUUUGGUCUAUAUAUCAGCGGCUUAAUCCAGACAUCAGGCGAUGCUUAGAAUACUGCAGUAUUUUCCCCAGAAGAUGCAAGUUGAGAAGGAAUCAGUUAGUUGCUUUGUGGAUGGCGCAAGGGUUUGUAAAGACGAGUUGUGCAACAGAGGACAUGGAAGAUGUGGCUGAGGGCUACAUUCAAGAGUUAGUGUCAUGCUCAUUUCUACAACCAGAACAAACUUGGGAUAAGAUUGGUUGUUUCACAAUUCAUGAUGUGGUGCAUGGUUUAUUAGACAAGGUCGCUCGAAAUUGCUUCAGAAUCGAAAAUGCAGGUAGCCAAGGAGGAGAAGGAUGGAACGGAGAUGUCCCUCGAGAUGUCCAGCAUCUCUUUGUUGAGAAAUAUGAUACAAAGUUGAUUACCGGGAAGGUCCUUGGAUUGGAAAAUUUGUGUACUCUCAUUGUUUAUGGUGUUGAAGAGGAUACACUAGUUAAGGAAAGAGUGAUUGAGAGUAUAUGCAAGAGGCUGCUGAAAUUGCGGGUGCUUGCGAUUGCUUUCAGCCAGGAACCUGCUGCAAUCAAGAUCAACGUAUGCAACAAGUUCUCGGUCCCAGAAUCCAUUAGUCAGCUAAAGCACCUACGCUAUCUUGCUUUUAGGAUAAGCAACUAUGGCUAUCCGAAGGUAAUUUUACCAAGCACAAUACGUAAACUUCAGCAUAUCCAGCUCCUAGAUUUUGGCGAUGGCUAUGUUGAGUUUAACUUUGGUGUUCAUGUCCACUUGCGGUACAUAAUGUCUCGGUUCCAACUUCCUAACAUAGGCGGGCUUAUAUCACUCCACACUCUAAGAGACUUCAAAGUAAGCAACCUACAAGAAGGUUAUGAUAUAAAACAGCUGAGGGACCUAAACAAGCUUCGUGGCUACCUGCACAUCAAGGGCCUUGAAAAUGUUAGAAGCAAGGAGGAAGCUCUUGAAGCCAAUCUAGCUGCCAAGGAACGGCUCACUGAAUUGGAACUGCGGUGGAGUUGUAAUGCUUCCAAUAGGUGCAGUCGACAAGUUGACGCAGAGGUACUUGAGGGCCUGUGCCCUCCCCCCUAG